AACUUUCUACCAUAGCCCUUUGCUGGAAGAAGGGGUGACAGGGAUCCCUUAGCCACAGCUGGAACAAAGAAUCUGUGGAAAAGCAUUGACACAGCUUCUGGGAAGUGGGAGUAAAGUAAAGAAGGAAGUGGUGUUAAGCUAAGAACUUAAUUCUGAUGGUUUUUGCAAUCAUGUACUUAGCAUCACAAUGCUGUCAUGGCCUUUGGGAAGGAGUUUUUCUUAGAAAUGCAGUAAUAGAAUGAGUUCCUGCUUAGAACUGAAACCUACAGUGGACAAAGAGCUCCUGUUUUAAAGAUUACACUGGUAUUGAUUUAGAAGAGUGGGAGUGUAUUAUCAGAUAGAAUAAACUGAAGAGUAUACCUACAUGAUUAAGAGUUUUAUGAUGUACAGUAUUAAUGUGCACUACUUAGAAUUCAGGGUAAUAAAAAAUACAAAGUUGCAAUGCUCAUA
Molecule: non-coding RNA, 450 nt
Organism: Lonchura striata (white-rumped munia)
Lineage: Eukaryota; Metazoa; Chordata; Aves; Passeriformes; Estrildidae
Source: RefSeq, a predicted model, not a curated record